UCAUGAAUUCAUCAUGUGAAAUACUGAGAUCUUUGUAUAAUGCAUGUACCAUCAUAUUGUUGUUGUGUUCUCAGUCACCUCUUUGACUUCAUCAUGUUUGACCACAUCUGUAACUCCAUCAUGUUUGACCACAUCUGUAACUUGAUCAUGUUUUUCUACCUCUUUAACUUGAUCAUGUUUUUCCACCUCUUUAACUUGAUUCUGUUUUUCCACCUCUUUAACUUGAUCCUGUUUGACCACCUCUUUGACUUGAUCCUGUUUGAUCACUUCUUUAACUUGAUCCUGUUCGAGCAUCUCUUUGACUUG
RNAcentral lists this long non-coding RNA (306 nucleotides) under Daucus carota (carrot). RNAcentral describes it as "long non-coding RNA (DCAR_LNC003337)". The record is from RNAcentral. Lineage: Eukaryota; Viridiplantae; Streptophyta; Magnoliopsida; Apiales; Apiaceae.